ACCUGCAUUCGAAAGUGAUCAUGGGCUGCCUGUGCCCUGGUCAUCAGUUUUGCAGGGAGAGGAACUGAAAGCCAUUUCCCGUGUUUGGAGGGUCCAGCCUGUCCCUUUCAAAUGCUGGCGCUUUCAUACA
This is a small nucleolar RNA of Cavia aperea (Brazilian guinea pig), 130 nucleotides long. Its record names the gene SNORA71. It matches the Rfam family "Small nucleolar RNA SNORA71". Rfam says of the family: The members of this family belong to the H/ACA class of snoRNAs which bind a number of proteins (including dyskerin, Gar1p and Nop10p) to form snoRNP complexes. Lineage: Eukaryota; Metazoa; Chordata; Mammalia; Rodentia; Caviidae. The record is from Ensembl.